This 1636-nucleotide unclassified non-coding RNA is filed under the name Hevea brasiliensis (rubber tree). The record is from RNAcentral. Lineage: Eukaryota; Viridiplantae; Streptophyta; Magnoliopsida; Malpighiales; Euphorbiaceae.
GUUGUAUUGCACUAUAAUAAGGGUUUGAUCAAACUGAAAUUUUAAAGCUUUUGUUUCAGGAUCAUGUUCAGCUCUAAAAAUUGCAUAUUGUUCACUGAACUACAAUUAAAGCAAAUAAAUUUCUGAAACUAUGAAUGUAGCAUAAAAGCAUAAUCACUUGCAAUAACAAAAGUUUUUACUUACAAUUACAUGGUAUUGUAACAAAAGUAACAUUAUCCAGUUUAGGAUCAAUAGAUCAUAAUUUCAUGUCUUCGUUAUUACAGUAUUUUGGUGUGUAUUUGCAGUAUGUAAAACUCUCAUCUUGUGGAGAAGUUUGAAAAGAUCUCAGUUUGCAGAUUUCUCACCUCAUUAAAGGACAACAUUGAGGAGGAUUUAGCAUCACAGAGGAAGAACAGAGUUUCUGUUCCUGUUAUACCUUAACAAGAACAAUUUUCCACCACAGGAAAGUGAUCUCUUUAAUGAACUUGGCCCAAUUUGCAAAGACCUCCCAAUAGAAGAACUAGCCAUGAAUUUUAGCAAGCUUUGAUUGUUACCAACUCUCUUUGAAACAAUUCCCAUAUUGGAUUCAUUCUCUUUUGCCAAUUCUCUACCUGAAAUUCGAUCAGAUUCUACUGCACGAACAUUAGCAAGAGCCUGACUGAUCUUGAAAGCAGAUAAAGAAUCUAAAGAAACAGAUCUUCUCAUUGGCUGUAUCCCUUCCUCCUCUUCAUUCAACUCUUCAACUCUGUUCCUUCUAUUCUCAUCCUGGAAUUCUUCUUCCUCUUCUGUUCCAACACUCAAUUCACCAUUUGUACUUUCAAUUUCUCUUUCAGAUUCUCCAUCAUUCUCUAAAACUGCGAUCUGGUUAUCUUCUCCAGCACUUGCACUCGCACUAUUACCCUCUGAUGAUGUUGCUCUCGGCGGGCUUGCAAUGAUAGGGGCACGACACAUAGGGCAAUUUGUAUGCGAUCUAAGCCAAGUAUCAAUACAAGGGAUAUGAAAAGCAUGGCUACACUUAGGUAAGAGUCUAAGAGUCUCAUCUUCUUGAAAUUCACCCAAGCAAACAGAGCAAUCAGUUCCUUCAACAAGCCCAUCACCUCUCUUAUACUUACAAACAGUAAUAGAAUUAAUCACCGAUGGCUGUAGCCCAACAGUGUUUAUAUACCAGAUGGGAUGGUCAACCACAGGGCCAUGAUCCUCAUCAAGAAACUCUUCAUGGAUCUCAUUUCUUUGCUCCUCAGAAUUCGAUCCUCUCCUUCUUGACCCAGAAUAGAAUUUGAAAUAUAUAGCAUAGCAGAAAACAAGAAAAAAAGCAGAGGCUAGUACAAUACCUGUAAUCAAGAACUUGUUGGGCUUUGUCUGGUGGGUUGUAGGGGUGAAAGGGAGUUUAUCUGGGCAAUUAUCAUAGCAAUAACCCCAACAUAUCUGAGUCUGACAAUCUACAUCAUCUGAUGAAUCACAGGCUUGUGAACAGGAGCCUGGGUCGGGUGAUGAGGUUAUAUUGUAAGAAUCAGAUAACAACUUUCUGAAUUGCAAACCCAUCAGGAAGGAAGUGAAGGGAUUGCAAUCUUGGAUGUGAAAAAUAAGAAAAGUAUUAGGGGUAAAAAGAGAGGAAAGCUUGGUCAGGUUCUGGUAGGCAGGUAGAGAGAGAGAGAGA